RNAcentral lists this ribosomal RNA (498 nucleotides) under uncultured bacterium. RNAcentral describes it as "partial 16S ribosomal RNA". It matches the Rfam family "Bacterial small subunit ribosomal RNA", at positions 28 to 507 of the family's 1533-position model. The record is from RNAcentral.
GACGAACGCUGGCGGCGUGCCUAAUACAUGCAAGUCGAACGAGAGCGACCGGUGCUUGCACUGGUCAAUCUAGUGGCGAACGGGUGAGUAACACGUGGGUAACCUGCCCAUCAGAGGGGGAUAACAUCCGGAAACGGAUGCUAAAACCGCAUAGGUCUUCGAACCGCAUGGUUUGAAGAGGAAAAGAGGCGCAAGCUUCUGCUGAUGGAUGGACCCGCGGUGCAUUAGCUAGUUGGUGAGGUAACGGCUCACCAGGGCCGUGAUGCAUAGCCGACCUGAGAGGGUGAUCGGCCACAUUGGGACUGAGACACGGCCCAAACUCCUACGGGAGGCAGCAGUAGGGAAUCUUCCGCAAUGGACGCAAGUCUGACGGAGCAACGCCGCGUGAGUGAAGAAGGUUUUCGGAUCGUAAAACUCUGUUGUUAGAGAAGAACAAGUGCUAGAGUAACCGUUAGCGCCUUGACGGUAUCUAACCAGAAAGCCACGGCUAACUACGUG